This 522-nucleotide ribosomal RNA is filed under the name Triticum aestivum (bread wheat). RNAcentral describes it as "partial small subunit ribosomal RNA". Lineage: Eukaryota; Viridiplantae; Streptophyta; Magnoliopsida; Poales; Poaceae. The record is from RNAcentral.
AUGUCUUGGAACGUUAGAGGACUGAAUGCGCCGGCCAAACGUGAGGCCAUUCGAGAAACUGCAGCUGCUCUCAAGACAGCCAUUCUGACGCUUCAAGAAACAAAGAUCGAUGCCUGGUCUUCAGAAAUCGCGUGUGAGAUAGGGGACAGCCUGCGGGGUUGUGUGGUUCUCCCGGCCCUGGGGGCGAGGGGUGGCGCUGUAAUUUUCUGGAACAAAGAAGUGGUUUCCAUUGAAUCACACUCCAUAGGUAGAUUCACCAUCAUGGUUAAGGUCACUAAACGUAGCAACAAUGUUCAGUACUGGUUGACGAUGGUAUAUGGGCCAACUGAUGAAGCCAUUAGAGAGGAGUUUUUUCUCGAGAUGGUCAGCAUUGCACCCCCAGUGGGAGAGCCAUGGCUGGUCACAGGAGAUUUCAACAUGAUCUAUGAAGCUAGAGACAAGAGCAACUCGAACCUGAACAUGAGGCUUAUGGGCAGAUUCAGGAAAGCUUUAGAUUUUGCUGGCUUAAAAGAAAUCAAAUGC